Molecule: long non-coding RNA, 1735 nt
Filed under: Daucus carota (carrot)
Lineage: Eukaryota; Viridiplantae; Streptophyta; Magnoliopsida; Apiales; Apiaceae
Description: long non-coding RNA (DCAR_LNC000907)
Source: RNAcentral
UUCUCAACUCGGUCAAGAUAAUCAAGACACUGAUGGUAAUAAAACAAGAUGUUCAAAUGAUCAAGUGUUGGAACAGAUAAACAUGCUAUGCAAUGAUUUGAGGAUGCCAGAUCAUGUAGCUUCAGCCGAGAGCACCUCCAUGUCCACCUUAAGUUGUCAAAGUGAUGUAUGGAAGUAAGAAUAUAAUUCCUUCAUUAUCUGCAGUACCUAGUUCCUUUAUGUCUGCAGUGUAGUCAUCAAAAUUAGAAAACAUUGAGAUAAUUUGCCAGUUGAUGUAAAUAAUGAAAUAGUUAAAUUGAUGGCUUGUACUACUAGCUGCCAUAGUGAACAAUAUUUGUAGAUAUAUGCAUAUUAACAAAUAUCAUUUACGAUUGAAAGGUAUUAUGUUUAGUAAUAUGAAUAUAUAGACAUGAUACAUGAUAUAGUAUUAAUGUCCAAAGCAAAAUGGUAAUUGGCAUUGUCAUACUUUUUCACAGCUCAUUGGAAGUUUAAGAUACCAGCAUAAUGUCAUGUAAUCCCUCUGCAACUGUUGUCAUCUGCGAUAAAACGAGGUGUUUCGUCUGAUAUUCAUAGACAUUCUGCUAAUUAUAAGCCAUCCAAACCAACCAUUUUGUAGUCUACAAUCAGGAAGAUCACAUACGAGAGCUAAAAUACAAUUAUGCAGUAAAUAUGUAACAGCAUCACAUAAUUAACAUGCAUGAAGGGCUAAUUACAUCUUAUAUAUCAAUAUAACAUACAAUGUCUCGAAUUACAACUUCAACAUACUUAAUGCCAAUAAGUUGAAAGCUUCCGACGAAUAAUAUGAAGAAAAAGAAGCAACACGAGGAUAUCUUGAUCAGCUCACAGACAUGAAUGCUGAUUAUGAAGUCAUUACAAAAUCACAUCCUGAACCUGAAAUUCGCUAAUAAUCUAAAUUGCAGUCUUAAGUUUAAGGGAAUGAAAAAAUGGACUGCAUGGAUUAUCAGGGCGUCUGCAAUUAAUUUUUAGUGCAUCAUAUACAACGUAUGUCCUAAAAUCAGUAAACUCAGUUAUCUACUCUUACAAUCUCCUUGAUCUUGCGCCUUUGACCUCAUUAAAUCUUCCAUUUACUUCUCUUCUGUGCCAAUGUGAUUUUAGGAUGUACAAAAUAUAAAAUUUGAACUGUUUUUCCAUAGUGGUAUCAACAAAUAAUGGAGUAAAGACAUGCUAAAAUUAAACAAUCAAUAUAGAUUUCUCAAUAGAUAGCCGAAUCAAUACCUAGCUUUCAUCACAUUUUCUCCAGGAAUAUAGGAUUCUUCACAACAUGGAUGGAAAUUCACCUGCUUUUGUUGAUUAAAGAACAUAAAGAACUUUAACAUUACCUUAGAGACUUCGACUGGAUUCAUUGUAGCAUUGCCUAGUUCUGUCCGGGGAGAACUAGAGUGACACAGAGAAAAGCUCAAGGCAUUCACUAUAGCUAGGAAACAAGAUAUGAGGUCAAUGUAUCUUAUUCAAAGGCAAGGCUAUAUACAGAAACAAACUGACAUCUAAUGUUGAAAUCCACGAAAUUUUGCACCAAGACUAGGAAACAAGAAUAAUGUACAUUGUCGUUCGGAUGGAUGGAUCAUGAACAAUAAUAAUAUAGCAAGACUAUAUAUAAGUAUAGAAUAGUAACUACUCCAAUACAAACUAAUGCUACUAAAAGGGUUGUGGGACUGGGGAUGGACCUCGAGAUGGGUUUCGGGGAGGGGGGGCUCUUGGAUCUGUGGAGCAUUUG